Molecule: RNase P RNA, 148 nt
Filed under: Myxococcales bacterium
Lineage: Bacteria; Pseudomonadati; Myxococcota; Myxococcia; Myxococcales
Description: partial RNase P RNA component class A
Rfam family: Bacterial RNase P class A
About the family: Ribonuclease P (RNase P) is a ubiquitous endoribonuclease, found in archaea, bacteria and eukarya as well as chloroplasts and mitochondria.
Source: RNAcentral
CGACGGGAGCAGGCGCUCGCUGGCGGUCCUUCGGGGCCGCGAGAGGAAAGUCCGAGCUCCACAGGGCAAGAUGCUGGGUAACGCCCAGUGGGGGUGACCCCGAGGAAAGUGCCACAGAAAGGAAACCGCCCCGCCUGUAUUUCGGCCC